UAGUGGGACCAUUGGAAACUGUAUGGAACGAAAAAGAUUAAGAGAAUCUAUUUAAGAGAGAAAUGAUGACUUGCAUUUUUAUUUUUAUUUUGCUGAGUUAAUUCACUUCCAGUCACAAUAACAUAUGAUUUUAAAAUCGCCUUCUUCUAAGCACUUU
Molecule: long non-coding RNA, 157 nt
Organism: Octopus sinensis (East Asian common octopus)
Lineage: Eukaryota; Metazoa; Mollusca; Cephalopoda; Octopoda; Octopodidae
Exons: 4
Source: RefSeq, a predicted model, not a curated record